UGUGAAGAUAUGAAUUUAACCUCUUUGUCUCAAAAUAUUUUUUAGUAGUGUUAGUUUUAGAUUAUAAAGAACUUCUAAAUGUUUAGAUUAAAAGUUUAAGAUCCAAAAAAAAAAAUCUGAACUGAAACAUACACGACUCGCGUGAAAAUAUCACGUUUGUAAUAAAACCUGUUAAUGGUGUAAAAAUUUUCAGAAACCAAAUUCACGUACGAAAAUUUUGGCCGCAUGCAGGCAUGCACACUUAACGAUUGUUUUCUUUCGUAUAUAAAUCGUACAGUGUAAAUUACAUUGAAUUUAUAUCCUAAAUUCAAUGGUGAAUUUAUUAGAUUACAAAUCAUGUGAUCAAACAGUUUAAGUACAAACCUCCCCGCUGAAAAAUGCAUAAAUGUUCUUAUUUAUAUGGUUUAGUACUUUUUUAUUUUCUUGAUUGUAUGGCGAUAUUUUUUGUAUUGACAAUAGUAUUCAUAUACAAGUUUGAAAGUGAGUAAUGACGUGUCAAUAGUAAUAUGAUAAUAUUUUGAUAAAUGGAGCUUGAUAUUGAUAUUAACCUUUUAGAUGAAAUUCCUUAAUGUUAAAUUUGAUCAGUGUUUUGCACCCAAAAAAUAUCAGAUCAAUCUAUAAUUGGCAGGAGUAAAUGUUUAUCUCUUAGGAAGGGUAUUUUUUUGUCACAUCUUUGUAAAACUAAACAUUAAUAAAAUCUCAAAAUCUAAAAUCUUUAGCGCCGACGAACAAGUAUUUUUCUUGACCACGACUAACGUUUUUCUUACGUCGGUGUCGAAUGACUUACGUCUCUCUUUGAUGUGUCUCCUGCUCCACUCUUUCUUUUGUAUCCGUCUUCUUCCCAUUUUGGUUUUAUUCGAAAGAGAUCCUAUCGUUCGACUUGGUUGCUCCAGCCUCCAGCCUUUGAUUUGUUCGUCUUUUUAUUUAAAUCCGAAGGGUUUAAAUAUUGCAUAAUUCUCCAUUAUGCAGUGAAUAUUCUACAUGUGACUCAUACCUAGGUCUACUGAAAUCUUUAUAUUUAAUUGACAAAUGGAUAAUGACAGAAAAUUAACAAUUCAAAUCUAGUAUCAAACAAUAUAAUAAGCAACCACAGAACUAAUUAAAAGCCACCGAUACGUAGCCAACCCCGUAAAGGUUGGAGCGUGCUUUCCACGUCACUCCAAGGAGCGUAACAAAGUCACUACUGAAUUGCUUGUUCUACGGUUCCUUUGUUAACCACAUAACUCACGAUUACUUUCCCUCUAUGUAACGGCGAGAUAACCGGCUGGCAUAAAUCGAUAAACCGGAAAUAACCACUGGUAAAGCAAAUAAAGAGCAAAGGAGAGAAAAAUGGAGAGAAAGAGGGGACCAUCAAUCAUGUCGUAACUCCCGGCCAAAAACAAAAACACGUGUCGAUACGACGUUGCCUGGACCACAUAUGGUCCCCUCCAAAGCAAUAGCAUGCGUUUCGGGAUAAGAGAAUCCCAACCGUACAUCUGGAUUGAUGCAACCCCGAAUAAAGAAAAAACAUAAUAAAAAUAAAUUACUUUAAAAAAAAAUAGAUACGACAAAAUUAUUUUUAAAAAAAAUUAGUUAAAAAAUUAACGUGGGGACCAGUCCUAGAUUUUUUCAGACUUAGGCUGACAGCCGCCGGCUUAAUGAAAGUGGACGGCCGGAUUUAACCCCAACAAAUUUUAAAAAUAUUAUUAUUUAAAACGUUUUUAAAAAUUGAUGAAACAAAAUUAUUUUAAGAAAGAAAGAAAUAUAUAAACAAGGGGACCACAUAGCGCGUGGGGUCUACUGACUGGUGAGGGGAGAGAAGGUGUUUAAGUAGCCAACUGUUUACCUAUCUCCAAAUGGUCCCCUGCCUAGUUCACACUAAAAUUCUUAUAUAGAAACCAUUUUAUUUCUUUAAGGUAAAAUCAACUUCGUUCUGACAAAAAAAGAAAACAUUUCAAUGAAAGAUUUCAAAAUUUAUUAUCUAUUAUAUCUGACAAAAGGGAAAUAGUACUCUAAUUAUUACUACCUUCAAAAGUAUUUACUAUUUUUUUGUCAAUCAAAAGUAUUUACUAAAUAAUCGUUAUAUAGUUUUAUACUAUUACAAUUUGGUUAUUUGGACAUGUUAACUUAAAAAAAAAUAUUUGAUAAGUUUGAGUUAGUCUUUAAAAAAAUAUACAAAAGAGUUUUGUGUUGGUUCUAGUUUGAGACCUAGGUUCACUUAAAGGCAUGAUUAAACCAAAUUUUUUAAUUGGGGUUCUUAACUCAUUAUUUGAUAAUUAUUUGUUCUUUUUUUUUUAUAUUUUUGGGCUAAGAAACAAUUUUAUAUCUUUUAUUUAAGAGAAAGUUCUUAGUUUUUCUUAAAAGACCUAAAAACCGUCUCCUAACCGAAGCUAAAAAUUUUAGUUAAGAAAUUGAGGUAAAUCAUGAUUUAAGGAGAGAUGAUAUGGGUCUAAUAACUUCUUUUUUUUUUUAACAACAUGCGUCUAAUAAUUAAUUACAAGUAUUAUCAAAGGCAAUCCAAUAGACCAGUGGAUCCAAACUUUCUGGUUAAUAAAUUUAAAACUAUAUUUUGUAAUUUUGUGUGUUUGUUCUUUCUUUUCUCUUCUUCAUUUGAUGAUUACCACCUUUUGUGGUUCGUUGCAGUUUCAUUGAUUUGUUUCUUCUAAAAAUUCUUGUUGAAUGAUCUUUGAUAAGUAACGAUAAUUUGUAACCUCAUUUUUCACUAUGAUUAAUUUAUCUGUAAAACUAACAAGAUAACAAAAACUAGAACUCGUGAAAAGCAAAAAAUACUCAUCAAAACUGAAAACUAAAUUACAUGAAAGAGUUGUUUGAAGAUUGACCGAUAUGUUGUUAGGGUUUAUCCAGAAACACAUAUCGUCCAUUUCAAUCUUCACAUCAGAGAUAUAAUAAGGUAUUAAUAAAAUUUCGAGCGGUGACUGAAUAAAUUGCUUUGCCUUUGGAUCAUAUCUUGCGACCGAGAGAGGCGUAUAGUCCUUUACUCUUUUAAUGGAAGUGUGUCAUUUUCACAACCUUUUGAUCCUUCUUAUUUCUUUUUUUUUUUAUCUAAAGCUGAAUACAUCCACACAAUUUCUCACCAAAAAAAAAAAAAAUUCUCACAAGAUAUAACGAAAAUAAAUAAGUUUCGUCCACUAAAUUUUCAAGUAAAAUAUUAUAUGUUAUAUUUACGAUAAAUCAUUCAAACGCAAAAGCCAGCCAAACACCUCUGUAACAUACUAUUUUACUUACUAUGCAACAGUAAAUGCAUGAUACUAAAAAUAGUAAAGAAAAUUCUCUAUAUUUUAUAUAUUUAUAUAUGUGGAAUCUCGCUACUCGAGAUCUGCUAUUUAAUUUUGUUUGAAAUGUUCCAGUUAAAUUAAGUAAAAAAAAAUGUUCCAGUUAAAUUACUAUAACAUGAACUCGUGGUUGUGUGAGAUAUAUUGCGUUUGUGACCGAGAGAUGAACUCUGGAGUCAAGGUUCUUGUGGCUGAAACUUACUGUGAUGGUAUCCUAUGAGUUAGGAAUGAGAGAAUGAGAGAUGUCAAUCCAAGUCCCACAUUGGAUAAUUAGACAAGGAGUAUCUAAUAUAUAAAGAGAUGUCCAACUCUAAUAGUACGAGGUCUUUUGGGAUGGAAACCAAAAGUAAAUCCAUGCGGGCCAGCCUCCUAAGGCCCAAAGUGGACAAUAUCGUACUAAUAAGAUAAAAUAGAAUUGGACACGGGAUUUCACAAUCCCAACAAUUGGUAUCAGAGCGGUUGACAAUAAAUCUGCAAGAAGACCAAAAUACCCUUCGAGUAGGAACGGGACCCUUCAAAGUGAUAAGAGAGGUUCGGCAGAGAUUAGUCAGAAGAUCCUGGAAUUGUGGGAAGAGCAUCCUUAAAGCCACUCAAAGUAAACCUUGCGACUAAGGGUGUCGAAUGUCGAAGAUGCGACAAGGCACCGAGAUGAUUCGCUAGAAGAAAGGGCACAAGGUGUGUGGUCCUUAGCUUGAGGGGGAGAAUGAGAGAUGUCAAUCCAAGUCCCACAUUGGAUAAUUAGACAAGGAGUGUCUAAUAUAUAAAGAGAUGUCCAACUCUAAUAGUACGAGGCCUUUUGGGAUGGAAACCAAAAGUAAAUCCAUGCGGGCCAGCCUCCUAAGGCCCAAAGUGGACAAUAUCGUACUAAUAAGAUAAAAUAGAAUUGGACACGAGAUUUCACAAUCCCAACAAUUGGUAUCAAGAGCGGUUGACGAAUAUCUGCAAGAAGACCAAAAUACCCUUCGAGUAGGAAUGGGACCCUUCAAGGUGGAAAGGGAGGUUCGGUAGAGAUUAGUCAGAAGAUCCUGGAAUUGUGGGAAGAGCAUCCUCAAAGCAACUCAAAGUAACCUUGCGACUAAAGGUGUCGAAUGUCGAAGAUGCGACAAGGCACCGAGAUGAUUUGCUAAAGGAAAAGGGCACAAGGUGUGUGGUCCUUAGUUUGAGAGGGAGAAUGAGAGAUAUCAAUCCAAGUCCCACAUUGGAUAAUUAGACAAGGAGUGUCUAAUAUAUAAAGAGAUGUCCAACUCUAAUAGUACGAAGCCUUUUGGGAUGGAAACCAAAAGUAAAUCCAUGCGGGCCAGCCUCCUAAGACCCAAAGUGGACAAUAUCGUACUAAUAAGAUAAAAUAGAAUUGGACACGGGAUUUCACAAUCCCAACAGUGACAAUCCUAACUUUUAUGAUCCUACGAUGCACAUGAAACAUAUUAUAAUAGAAGAUCGGGUUAACCUGAGAAUGUUAAAUAAUAAAAGUUAAAACUAUAGAGAUUGAUUUAUGGUAUGUACAGUCUCGUAACUCAAAUCAUGCACAAAUUCCUCUGUAUAUCAUGUGCCUCCUCAAAUGUUUCUUCACCUAGUUCAAGAAUAUGCAUUGGUAGAAUAAUUUAGUGAAUUGACAACUCUCACUCUCCUUGUCAUCGAGGGAGCCCUCUAGGAUUAUUCUUCUUCUCGGACGUAGUAGUAGUGAGGGUCGGAUCCAAAUGACAUUUAUAAUGGAAGGAAAAUAAAACUAAUAUAAAUGGUUAACUUAGCCCUCAAACUGAGAGUAACCAUCUUAUAUAUUCAUUAUUAGAACAAGUCUCUAGUUUGGAUAGUUUGUGUUAAAUUGUAAGAAUAAAAUGAAUGAAGAUCGAUCUGAAUUAAUUUGCCGACAGGGUUCUAUAGUAUUUUGUCAACGAUUCAGCUAAAAUCUUAAAAUUGUGGGAUAGAGAUGGAAACGAAGUGUAGCUAAUUGACAAAGAUUUCCAGUAAAACCUGGUUGAUAAUCUAUACAGAUCAGAAGCAUUAAUAUCAUUUUGAUGGGUUUAAAAGACAGUACGCACAGACACUUACAUACCCUUUAUAAAAGUCAAGUCUUACUCAUGCUGGUCUUUAUUCAUUGCAAUAUAGUAUACAAUAUGACAACAUGCAUCUAUGCAUAUAUAUUGCCGACAAGAUACACAUCAUUAUAUAUAUAUAUAUAUAUAUAUAUAUAACAGAAAUGAAGCAAAAUACAUGAACACGAAAUUAGGUUAAAUGCAAUGGAAUCUAGCGCAAAAGAUAUCUAGUUUAUCAUAUUUAACUAUAGUUGAAGUCUAUCAUAAUUCUGACACGCCCAAAUAUUUGUUGAACACUAAAUAGAUGAUAUGCAGUGAGACAUUUUUGUGUGAAUAAUGUACCUAGUGACUAUAUCACAUUCCCAAAGAUCUUGAUAUCUAACAAAUCAAACUAUCUUUGAUACAAGUACACUACUCUUAACCAAUAAUACUCAUUCCCCUCCCAUUAAGCUGAUAUCGAAAUUGAUUGAUAGUGCUCAAAUGUCUUCUAUAUCAUGAAUUGCUCAAAUGUCUUCAUAUUAUAUUAUUAUUUAUAUUUAGCAUGUGUUUGUCUUUAGUAUGGUCAUGAAUAAUGUACCUAGAGACUAUAUCACAUUUCCAAAGAUCUUGAUAUCUAACAAAUCAAACUAUCUUUGAUACAAGUACACUCUCUUAACCAAUAAUACUCGUUCCCCUCCCAUAAUUAAGCUGAUAUCGAAAUUGAUUGAUAGUGCUCAAAUGUCUUCAUAUUAUAUUAUUAUUUAUAUUUAGCAUGUGUUUGUCUUUAGUUUAAGAUUAUGUUUUUCAAACGUGAAUCCAGAAAUACACAGUUUUGAUUUGAAUCCCAACAUUAUUGAUAUUUUGAUUGGACUCCUUUCUCACGUUUAGGGUUCUUUCCAAAAAGUUAGAUGCAGCAUAUCUAUUGUUCGACUUUAUCAUUGUAUUAUUAUAUACAAAUAUAAUUAAUGAACCACGAAAGGUCCAGUUUGGGGCCUACUUAUCUUCUUGGCCGGCUAUGGUAAUCAUUUUUCCAGUCCAAGCAAAUCUAAGCCGAAGUAACAACGAACUUUGAUGAAACGAUUGCACAAAACCAUGUAUAAGUAGUUUUCACAGUCAGUGAAAAUAAUAGAAGCAUCAAGAGGAACAAAAACUAUUGAUCUUAAAUGUUCAAAGUAGUAGAAGUCAUAGGAACAUGUAAUGUUAAGGAAUGUGAAGCGAGUGUAAAAAUAAGCAUUGAGUAAAACAGGUAUAUAAGAAGUCAAGAAGAAUGAGACAUUUGUAUGCUCCUCAAGUUAAAAUCCUCCCACAUUAGACUGUUCUCCAUUAAAAGCGGACCACCAAAAAUAGAGAAAAAAAGCAAAGACAAUUUUCAUUAGUACUCAAUUCUUUUGAGAUUGGACCACUCCUCCACUCUCCUCUCCUUUCAUUCUCAAUGCUUCUGCCUUUGGCCAUACCAUUACCACACCCACA
Molecule: long non-coding RNA, 6754 nt
Organism: Brassica rapa (field mustard)
Lineage: Eukaryota; Viridiplantae; Streptophyta; Magnoliopsida; Brassicales; Brassicaceae
Source: RefSeq, a predicted model, not a curated record